GACGAACGCUGGCGGCGUGCUUAACACAUGCAAGUCGAACGGUAAGGCCCUUCGGGGUACACGAGUGGCGAACGGGUGAGUAACACGUGGGUGAUCUGCCCUGCACUUCGGGAUAAGCCUGGGAAACUGGGUCUAAUACCGGAUAGGACCCUGGGAUGGAUGUCCUGGAGUGGAAAGCUUUUGCGGUGUGGGAUGGGCCCGCGGCCUAUCAGCUUGUUGGUGGGGUGAUGGCCUACCAAGGCGACGACGGGUAGCCGGCCUGAGAGGGUGACCGGCCACACUGGGACUGAGAUACGGCCCAGACUCCUACGGGAGGCAGCAGUGGGGAAUAUUGCACAAUGGGCGCAAGCCUGAUGCAGCGACGCCGCGUGAGGGAUGACGGCCUUCGGGUUGUAAACCUCUUUCAGCACCGACGAAGCGCAAGUGACGGUAGGUGCAGAAGAAGGACCGGCCAACUACGUGCCAGCAGCCGCAGUAA
This 478-nucleotide ribosomal RNA is filed under the name uncultured bacterium. RNAcentral's name for it is "partial 16S ribosomal RNA". It matches the Rfam family "Bacterial small subunit ribosomal RNA", at positions 28 to 523 of the family's 1533-position model. The record is from RNAcentral.